CGUAGCUGAUCUUAGAGGAUGAUCAGCCACACUGGGACUGAGACACGGCCCAGACUCCUACGGGAGGCAGCAGUGGGGAAUCUUGGACAAUGGGCGCAAGCCUGAUCCAGCCAUGCCGCGUGAGUGAAGAAGGUCUUCGGAUUGUAAAGCUCUUUUGCCAGGGACGAUAAUGACGGUACCUGGAGAAUAAGCCCCGGCAAACUUCGUGCCAGCAGCCGCGGUAAUACGAAGGGGGCUAGCGUUGUUCGGAAUUACUGGGCGUAAAGCGCACGUAGGCGGGUCGUUAAGUCAGGGGUGAAAUCCCGGAGCUCAACUCCGGAACUGCCUUUGAUACUGGCGAUCUUGAGAUCGGAAGAGGUGAGUGGAAUUCCCAGUGUAGAGGUGAAAUUCGUAGAUAUUGGGAAGAACACCAGUGGCGAAGGCGGCUCACUGG
RNAcentral lists this ribosomal RNA (433 nucleotides) under uncultured bacterium. RNAcentral's name for it is "bacterial SSU rRNA". It matches the Rfam family "Bacterial small subunit ribosomal RNA", at positions 282 to 732 of the family's 1533-position model. The record is from RNAcentral.